This is a long non-coding RNA of Paramisgurnus dabryanus, 1124 nucleotides long. RefSeq lists it as uncharacterized. The record is from RefSeq and is a predicted model, not a curated record. NCBI's taxonomy places the organism in Eukaryota, Metazoa, Chordata, Actinopteri, Cypriniformes, Cobitidae.
ACUGUUAGAUGUCGCUGUAGAUUUAGCAGUACAUUACUGUAAAAAUCCACAGUACUAUACUGUAUGUGUACAUUACAGUACAGUACUGCAGUUCAUAAUGCAUUCUGGGUAAAUUUGUUUGAGCGGGAAAAUUUUACAGUAUAUUUUGGUCUUGAUGUAACCUUGCUGUAGCCAUUGCUGUAAUGUGCCAGGUGUACUUGCAAUAAUCAGAGAAAGUGCGCCAACGUCAAAUCACACAGAGGGAGAGAGAGCACAACUCCUGGCUGCAGCUGAAGGAGGACGAUUGAUUUCUGGCAGUUCGUCUUACCAUUGCUUGUAAGCUGGAUUGGGUAAGAUGGAUCAUCUUUAAAGGAACCAGGAGUUAAGGCAGAUGUGGAGGCACAACGGGUGACACCAGACACACACCAAGCACAUUAUGUUCGGACAUUCAAUCAUGACAUGAUCCAGGUGGAUGCUGUCCAUUGAGGAAAGAGUUUGUUCAGCGGUUUCUGGAUAGAAUUAAUUCCAAAGAUGGGAAGAAGUGCACAUCCAGACAAGGAGCAAGCAAAAAGACAAGGAACUUGGUGCAGAGAAAAGCUGUGGCCAUUAACCCCUGUGAACAGCUUCAUGCAGUCGCUGAUUGAGUUCGAAUGGACGACUUCAAAGUAAAGGCCACUGUGGUCUGUCUGCCACAGUUUAAUUUUAAAUUUAUUUUUAGUGUUCAAUGAAAUUCAAGUAGAAUAUUUAAAACUAUGGGCCAGUGUUCUUUUUACCACAGUGAAAUGUUACCUUUUAGUCGAUGAUGGACUUUAAACUGAAAACUUCAAACUAUGGACCAGUGUUCUAUUUGCCAGAGUUAAAUAUGUUACAGCAGGGGUCUCCAAACUUGUUUAUACUUGUUGAUUUUAUUUUAUUUAACUUGUUUAUAUGUUUAUUAUUGUUUAAAAUCUUGUUUUAAAUAUGUUUUGUUUCAAUUAAAUGUUUUUUUUAAAUAAAAUUUUGAUACAUACAUUGCUUGGAUUGCCUUUUAAUUCAUUAUGUUUUAAUGUAGCAUUUUUACCAUAUUAAUAACUAUAGAUUUAAACCUAAAUAUCUAGCUAUUAUAUAUAAUAUUAUUGUAUUAACUGUAAUAAGUAAUAAAUAGU